This 465-nucleotide ribosomal RNA is filed under the name uncultured bacterium. RNAcentral's name for it is "partial 16S ribosomal RNA". It matches the Rfam family "Bacterial small subunit ribosomal RNA", at positions 28 to 507 of the family's 1533-position model. The record is from RNAcentral.
GACGAACGCUGGCGGCGUGCUUAACACAUGCAAGUCGAACGGAAAGGCGCUGAUUUCAGGGUACUCGAGUGGGGAACGGGUGAGUAAGACGUGGGUGAUUUGCCCUGCAAUUCGGGAUAGGCCAGGGAGAGAGGGCGGAGCAACGGAUAGGAGCUAUAUUUAGUGGGAUGGUUGGAAAGUGUUUUCGGGUUAGGAUGAGCUCGCGGGCUAGCAGCUUGCUGGUGGGGUAAUGGCGUACCGAGGCGGCGAAGGGUAGCCGGCCUGAGGGGGUGGACGGCCACCCUGGGUCUGACGUACGGCCGCAACUGCUACGGUUCGCAGCAGUGCGGAAUCUUGCACAAUCAGCGCCAGCCUGAUGCAGAGACGCCGCGUGUGGUAUGACGCCCUUCGUGUUGUAAACUCCUUUCGCUAGGAACGAAGCUUUUCUUGACGGUACCUAGAUAAAAAGCCCCGGCUAACUACGUG